This 890-nucleotide ribosomal RNA is filed under the name Acidobacterium sp. SCGC AAA240-O11. RNAcentral's name for it is "SSU rRNA". It matches the Rfam family "Bacterial small subunit ribosomal RNA", at positions 34 to 897 of the family's 1533-position model. Lineage: Bacteria; Pseudomonadati; Acidobacteriota; Terriglobia; Terriglobales; Acidobacteriaceae. The record is from RNAcentral.
CGCUAGUGGCGUGUCUUAGUCAUGCAAGUCGAACGAGAAAGCUCUCUUCGGAGGGUGAGUAAAGUGGCGAACGGGUGAGUAACGCGUGGGUAACCUACCUCAGAGUUGGGGAUAACACUCCUAACGGAGUGCUAAUACCGAAUGAUAAGAUGGGGCUUCGGUCUCCAUCUUUAAAGAUGGCCUCUACUUGUAAGCUGUCGCUUUGAGAUGGGCCCGCGUCCUAUUAGCUUGUUGGUGGGGUAACGGCCUACCAAGGCGAAGAUGGGUAGCCGGCCUGAGAGGGUGAUCGGCCACACUGGAACUGAGACAAGGUCCAGUCCCCUACGGGGGCCAGCAGUCUAGAAAUUUGCACAAUCGACGAAAGUCGGAUGCAGCGACGCCACGUGGAGGAUGAAGCCCCUCGGGGUGUAAACUCCUGUCAGAAGGGAAGAAGGCGCAGGUGCUAAUAACAUCUGUGGCUUGACGGUACCUUCAAAGGAAGCUCCGGCUAACUGCGUGCCAGCAGCCGCGGUAAUACGUGGGGAGCGAGCGUUGUUCGGAUUUACUGGGCGUAAAGAGCACGUAGGCGGGUGAGGUAAGUCGGUCGUGAAAUCCUCUGGCUCAACCAGAGAACUGCUGCCGAAACUAGUCAUCUUGAGUCCAGCAGAGGGAAUCGGAAUCCUGGGUGUAGCGGUGAAAUGCGUAGAUAUCUAGGAGAACACCAGUGGCGAAGGCGGGUUCCUGGGCUGGCACUGACGCUGAGGUGCGAAAGUUAGGGGAGCAAACAGGAUUAGAUACCCUGGUAGUCCUAACCGUAAACGAUGGGCACUAGGUGUUGGAGGAUGUUGACCCCUUCAGUACCGUAGCUAACGCAUUAAGUGCCCCGCCUGGGGAGUACGGUCGCAAGCUGA